This 463-nucleotide ribosomal RNA is filed under the name uncultured bacterium. Its description in RNAcentral is "partial 16S ribosomal RNA". It matches the Rfam family "Bacterial small subunit ribosomal RNA", at positions 28 to 507 of the family's 1533-position model. The record is from RNAcentral.
GAUGAACGCUGACAGAAUGCUUAACACAUGCAAGUCGAUGGGGAAGUGGUGCUUGCACCAUGGUAACCAUGGCGGACGGGUGAGUAACGCGUAAGGAACUUGCCUGCGGGACUGGGAUAACAGCAGGAAACUGCUGAUAAUACCGGAUAAGGUCAUUAAGCUGCAUAGCUUAGUGAUGAAAGGAGACGCCUGCGGAGAGCCUUGCGUCCUAUUAGCUAGUUGGAGGGGUAACGGCCCACCAAGGCGAAGAUAGGUAGCCGGCCUGAGAGGGUGGACGGCCACAAGGGGACUGAGAUACGGCCCUUACUCCUACGGGAGGCAGCAGUGGGGAAUAUUGGGCAAUGGGGGCAACCCUGAUCCAGCAAUUCUGUGUGCACGAAGACGGUUUUCGGAUUGUAAAGUGCUUUCAGCAGGGAAGAAGGAAGUGACGGUACCUGCAGAAGAAGCGACGGCUAAAUACGUG